RNAcentral lists this non-coding RNA (168 nucleotides) under human gut metagenome. RNAcentral's name for it is "Lysine riboswitch". It matches the Rfam family "Lysine riboswitch aptamer". Rfam says of the family: Riboswitches are metabolite binding domains within certain messenger RNAs that serve as precision sensors for their corresponding targets. Allosteric rearrangement of mRNA structure is mediated by ligand binding, and this results in modulation of gene expression. The record is from RNAcentral.
UAGAUAGAGGCGCAGCCAAGAUGAGUAACCUGUCCCAAGGUCGGCCGGACCGCUUGAGGGAUUUGCGAAAGGUGCGGCUGCCGAAGAGCGGGUACGGCAUCCCCGCCUCUGGUCCGCCGGUGAAGAACCUGCGGAUUGUCAUCAAGGCUUUUGAUGGAGCGCUAUCGG